GUGCCAGCCGCCGCGGUAAUACGUAGGGAGCAAGCGUUAUCCGGAAUCACUGGGCGUAAAGGGUGUGCAGGCGGGCAUGCAAGUCUGACGUGAAAGCCCCGGGCUCAACUCGGGAAUUGCGUUGGAAACUGCAUGUCUUGAGGACCAGAGGGGUGGGCGGAAUUCGCGGUGUAGCGGUGAAAUGCGUAGAUAUCGCGAGGAACACCAGUGGCGAAAGCGGCCUACUAGAUGGUUCCUGACGCUGAUACACGAAAGCGUGGGUAGCGAACGGGAUUAGAUACCCGGGUAGUCC
RNAcentral lists this ribosomal RNA (292 nucleotides) under uncultured bacterium. Its description in RNAcentral is "partial 16S ribosomal RNA". It matches the Rfam family "Bacterial small subunit ribosomal RNA", at positions 505 to 796 of the family's 1533-position model. The record is from RNAcentral.